This 295-nucleotide ribosomal RNA is filed under the name Percolomonas cosmopolitus. RNAcentral describes it as "partial Bacterial small subunit ribosomal RNA". It matches the Rfam family "Bacterial small subunit ribosomal RNA", at positions 222 to 534 of the family's 1533-position model. The record is from RNAcentral. Lineage: Eukaryota; Heterolobosea; Eutetramitea; Percolomonadida; Percolomonadidae.
UGGAUCGGCCCGCGUAAGAUUAGAUAGUUGGUGGGGUAAUGGCCUACCAAGCCUACGAUCUAUAGCUGGUUUUAGAGGAUGAUCAGCAACACUGGGACUGAGACACGGCCCAGACUCCUACGGGAGGCAGCAGUGGGGAAUCUUAGACAAUGGGCGCAAGCCUGAUCUAGCGAUGCCGCGUGAGUGAUGAAGGCCUUAGGGUCGUAAAGCUCUUUCGCCUGUGAAGAUAAUGACGGUAGCAGGUAAAGAAACCCCGGCUAACUCCGUGCCAGCAGCCGCGGUAAUACGGAGGGUG